RNAcentral lists this ribosomal RNA (301 nucleotides) under uncultured bacterium. Its description in RNAcentral is "partial 16S ribosomal RNA". It matches the Rfam family "Bacterial small subunit ribosomal RNA", at positions 509 to 809 of the family's 1533-position model. The record is from RNAcentral.
CAGUAGCCACGGGAAUACGUAGGUGGCAAGCGUUGUCCGGAAUUAUUGGGCGUAAAGCGCGCGCAGGUGGUUUAAUAAGUCUGAUGUGAAAGCCCACGGCUCAACCGUGGAGGGUCAUUGGAAACUGUUAAACUUGAGUGCAGGAGAGAAAAGUGGAAUUCCUAGUGUAGCGGUGAAAUGCGUAGAGAUUAGGAGGAACACCAGUGGCGAAGGCGGCUUUUUGGCCUGUAACUGACACUGAGGCGCGAAAGCGUGGGGAGCAAACAGGAUUAGAGACCCCAGUAGUCCCUGUCUCUUAUAA